UAAGGUUAAGUUAUGAAGGGCGCAUGGUGAAUGCCUUGGUACUAGGAGCCGAUGAAGGACGGGACUAACACCGAUAUGCUUCGGGGAGCGGUAAGUACGCUUUGAUCCGGAGAUUUCCGAAUGGGGAAACCCAAUCAUCU
This 140-nucleotide ribosomal RNA is filed under the name Limosilactobacillus fermentum. RNAcentral describes it as "Lactobacillus fermentum partial 23S ribosomal RNA". It matches the Rfam family "Bacterial large subunit ribosomal RNA", at positions 1 to 137 of the family's 2925-position model. Lineage: Bacteria; Bacillati; Bacillota; Bacilli; Lactobacillales; Lactobacillaceae. The record is from RNAcentral.